Molecule: ribosomal RNA, 2589 nt
Filed under: Streptococcus pneumoniae
Lineage: Bacteria; Bacillati; Bacillota; Bacilli; Lactobacillales; Streptococcaceae
Description: bacterial LSU rRNA
Rfam family: Bacterial large subunit ribosomal RNA
Source: RNAcentral
UUAAGUUAGAAAGGGCGCACGGUGGAUGCCUUGACACUAGGAGUCGAUGAAGGACGGGACUAACGCCGAUAUGCUUCGGGGAGCUGUAAGUAAGCUUUGAUCCGAAGAUUUCCGAAUGGGGAAACCCACCAUACGUAAUGGUAUGGUAUCCUUAUCUGAAUACAUAGGGUAAGGAAGACAGACCCAGGGAACUGAAACAUCUAAGUACCUGGAGGAAGAGAAAGCAAAUGCGAUUUCCUGAGUAGCGGCGAGCGAAACGGAACAUAGCCCAAACCAAGAGGCUUGCCUCUUGGGGUUGUAGGACAUUCUAUACGGAGUUACAAAGGAACGAGGUAGACGAAGCGACCUGGAAAGGUCCGUCGUAGAGGGUAACAACCCCGUAGUCGAAACUUCGUUCUCUCUUGAAUGUAUCCUGAGUACGGCGGAACACGUGAAAUUCCGUCGGAAUCUGGGAGGACCAUCUCCCAAGGCUAAAUACUCCCUAGUGAUCGAUAGUGAACCAGUACCGUGAGGGAAAGGUGAAAAGCACCCCGGAAGGGGAGUGAAAGAGAUCCUGAAACCGUGUGCCUACAAAUAGUCAGAGCCCGUUAACGGGUGAUGGCGUGCCUUUUGUAGAAUGAACCGGCGAGUUACGAUCCCGUGCGAGGUUAAGCUGAAGAGGCGGAGCCGCAGCGAAAGCGAGUCUGAAUAGGGCGUUUAGUACGUGGUCGUAGACCCGAAACCAGGUGAUCUACCCAUGUCCAGGGUGAAGUUCAGGUAACACUGAAUGGAGGCCCGAACCCACGCACGUUGAAAAGUGCGGGGAUGAGGUGUGGGUAGCGGAGAAAUUCCAAUCGAACCUGGAGAUAGCUGGUUCUCCCCGAAAUAGCUUUAGGGCUAGCCUUAAGUGUAAGAGUCUUGGAGGUAGAGCACUGAUUGGACUAGGGGUCCUCAUCGGAUUACCGAAUUCAGUCAAACUCCGAAUGCCAAUGACUUAUCCUUAGGAGUCAGACUGCGAGUGAUAAGAUCCGUAGUCAAAAGGGAAACAGCCCAGACCGCCAGCUAAGGUCCCAAAGUGUGUAUUAAGUGGAAAAGGAUGUGGAGUUGCUUAGACAACUAGGAUGUUGGCUUAGAAGCAGCCACCAUUUAAAGAGUGCGUAAUAGCUCACUAGUCGAGUGACUCUGCGCCGAAAAUGUACCGGGGCUAAAUACACCACCGAAGCUGCGGAUUGAUACCGAAUGGUAUCAGUGGUAGGGGAGCGUUCUAAGGACAGUGAAGUCAGACCGUAAGGACUGGUGGAGUGCUUAGAAGUGAGAAUGCCGGUAUGAGUAGCGAAAGACGGGUGAGAAUCCCGUCCACCGAAUGCCUAAGGUUUCCUGAGGAAGGCUCGUCCGCUCAGGGUUAGUCAGGACCUAAGCCGAGGCCGACAGGCGUAGGCGAUGGACAACAGGUUGAUAUUCCUGUACCACCUCUUUAUCGUUUGAGCAAUGGAGGGACGCAGAAGGAUAGAAGAAGCGUGCGAUUGGUUGUGCACGUCCAAGCAGUUAGGCUGAUAAGUAGGCAAAUCCGCUUAUCAUGAAGGCUGAGCUGUGAUGGGGAAGCUCCUUAUGGAGCGAAGUCUUUGAUUCCCCGCUGCCAAGAAAAGCUUCUAGCGAGAUAAAAGGUGCCUGUACCGCAAACCGACACAGGUAGGCGAGGAGAGAAUCCUAAGGUGUGCGAGAGAACUCUGGUUAAGGAACUCGGCAAAAUGACCCCGUAACUUCGGGAGAAGGGGUGCUUUCUUAACGGAAAGCCGCAGUGAAUAGGCCCAAGCGACUGUUUAGCAAAAACACAGCUCUCUGCGAAGCCGUAAGGCGAAGUAUAGGGGGUGACACCUGCCCGGUGCUGGAAGGUUAAGGAGAGGGGUUAGCGUAAGCGAAGCUCUGAACUGAAGCCCCAGUAAACGGCGGCCGUAACUAUAACGGUCCUAAGGUAGCGAAAUUCCUUGUCGGGUAAGUUCCGACCCGCACGAAAGGUGUAACGAUUUGGGCACUGUCUCAACCAGAGACUCGGUGAAAUUAUAGUACCUGUGAAGAUGCAGGUUACCCGCGACAGGACGGAAAGACCCCGUGGAGCUUUACUGUAGCCUGAUAUUGAAUUUUGGUACAGUUUGUACAGGAUAGGCGGGAGCCAUUGAAACCGGAGCGCUAGCUUCGGUGGAGGCGCUGGUGGGAUACCGCCCUGACUGUAUUGAAAUUCUAACCUACGGGUCUUAUCGACCCGGGAGACAGUGUCAGGUGGGCAGUUUGACUGGGGCGGUCGCCUCCUAAAGUGUAACGGAGGCGCCCAAAGGUUCCCUCAGAAUGGUUGGAAAUCAUUCGUAGAGUGCAAAGGCAUAAGGGAGCUUGACUGCGAGACCUACAAGUCGAGCAGGGACGAAAGUCGGGCUUAGUGAUCCGGUGGUUCCGCAUGGAAGGGCCAUCGCUCAACGGAUAAAAGCUACCCCGGGGAUAACAGGCUUAUCUCCCCCAAGCCACAUCGACGGGGAGGUUUGGCACCUCGAUGUCGGCUCAUCGCAUCCUGGGGCUGUAGUCGGUCCCAAGGGUUGGGCUGUUCGCCCAUUAAAGCGG